This is a small nuclear RNA of Equus caballus (horse), 104 nucleotides long. Its record names the gene U2. It matches the Rfam family "U2 spliceosomal RNA". From Rfam's summary of the family: U2 is a small nuclear RNA (snRNA) component of the spliceosome (involved in pre-mRNA splicing). Complementary binding between U2 snRNA (in an area lying towards the 5' end but 3' to hairpin I) and the branchpoint sequence (BPS) of the intron results the bulging out of an unpaired adenosine, on the BPS, which initiates a nucleophilic attack at the intronic 5' splice site, thus starting the first of two transesterification reactions that mediate splicing. NCBI's taxonomy places the organism in Eukaryota, Metazoa, Chordata, Mammalia, Perissodactyla, Equidae. The record is from Ensembl.
AUUGCUUCUCGGCCAUUUGGCUAACAUCAACUGUAGUAUCUGUUCUUAUCAGUUUAAUUUGUGAUAUUAAAAAAGUACUAAAAUACUGGAAAGAAACAGCACAU